RNAcentral lists this transfer RNA (73 nucleotides) under Gemmatimonas sp. RNAcentral describes it as "tRNA-Arg". It matches the Rfam family "tRNA". Rfam says of the family: Transfer RNA (tRNA) molecules are approximately 80 nucleotides in length. Their secondary structure includes four short double-helical elements and three loops (D, anti-codon, and T loops). Further hydrogen bonds mediate the characteristic L-shaped molecular structure. tRNAs have two regions of fundamental functional importance: the anti-codon, which is responsible for specific mRNA codon recognition, and the 3' end, to which the tRNAs corresponding amino acid is attached (by aminoacyl-tRNA synthetases). tRNAs cope with the degeneracy of the genetic code in two manners: having more than one tRNA (with a specific anti-codon) for a particular amino acid; and 'wobble' base-pairing, i.e. permitting non-standard base-pairing at the 3rd anti-codon position. Lineage: Bacteria; Pseudomonadati; Gemmatimonadota; Gemmatimonadia; Gemmatimonadales; Gemmatimonadaceae. The record is from RNAcentral.
CCCUCCGUAGCUCAAUUGGAAGAGCAAGCGCAUCCUAAGCGCUAGGUUGCAGGUUCGAGCCCUGCCGGGGGGA